AUGGGUUUUUGUGGAAAUUUUGGGAAUUCUGAGGGUAAAAAUUCCACAUUUUCACUCUACGGUUUUUCCCUAAAUCCCUCAGGUCUCUGCCUUGGUUUUCCAGGGAAUUUUGGGAAUUCUGAGGGGACAAAUCCCAAAUUUCCAUCCCAAAUCUCCCCCUCACUCCUCUCCCCAACUAUUCCAUGGAAACCCAUGGAUUUUCCUGGGAAUUUUGGGAAUUCUGAGGGGACAAAUCCCAAAUUUCCACCCCACAGCUCUUCCCUAAUACCCCUCAUCCCCCUGCCAUGGUGUUCCAUGGCAAUCCAUGGAUUUUUCGUGGGAAUUUUGGGAAUUCUGAGGGAACAAAUCCCACAUUUCCACCCCAAAUCUCCCCCUCACUCCUCUCCCCAACUAUUCCAUGGAAACCCAUGGAUUUUUUCCUGGGAAUUUUGGGAAUCCAUGGAUUUUGUGGGAAUUUUGGGAAUUCUGAGGGAACAAUUCCCAAAUUUCCACCCCACACCUCUUCCCCUCAACCCCUCAUUCCCCUGCCAUGGUGUUCCAUGGCAAUCCAUGGAUUUUUCAUGGAAAUUUUGGGAAUUCUGAGGGGACAAAUCCCACAUUUCCACCCCACAGCUCUUCCCUAAAACCCUCAUGCGCCUUUCCUGCUUUUCCAGAGAAUUUUGGGAUUUCUGAGGGGACAAAUCCCACAUUUCCACCCCACACCUCUUCCCCUCAAUCCCUCAUCCCCCUGCCCUGCUAUUCCAUGGAAACCCAUGGAUUUUUUGGUGGGAAUUUUGGGAACCCUGUGGAUUUUUUGGUGGGAAUUUUGGGAAACCCGUGGAUAUUUUUUGUGGGAAUUUUGGGAAACCCAUGGAUUUUUGUGGGAAUUUUGGGAAUUCUGAGGGGACAAAUCCCAAAUUUCCACCCCAAAUCUCUCCCUCACUCCUCUCCCCAACUAUUCCAUGGAAAUCCAUGGGUUUUUGUGGGAAUUUUGGGAAUUCUGAGGGUAAAAAUCCCACAUUUUCACCCCACACCUCUUCCCUUCAAUCCCUCAUCCCCCUGCCCUGCUAUUCCAUGGAAACCCAUGGAUUUUUCCUGGGAAUUUUGAGAAACCCAUGGAUUUUUUUGGUGGGAAUUUUGGGAACCCUGUGGAUUUUUUGUGGGAAUCCAUG
This 1151-nucleotide long non-coding RNA is filed under the name Zonotrichia albicollis (white-throated sparrow). RNAcentral describes it as "lncRNA (ENSZALG00000001896.1)". The record is from RNAcentral. Lineage: Eukaryota; Metazoa; Chordata; Aves; Passeriformes; Passerellidae.